Long non-coding RNA from Lytechinus variegatus (green sea urchin), 249 nucleotides. RefSeq lists it as uncharacterized. NCBI's taxonomy places the organism in Eukaryota, Metazoa, Echinodermata, Echinoidea, Temnopleuroida, Toxopneustidae. The record is from RefSeq and is a predicted model, not a curated record. The transcript has 3 exons.
CUGGAUGAGGCUUACAGAGUGCUUAAACCAGGAGGUAGAUUCCUUUGCCUAGAGUUUAGUGAGGUCCAGGAUUCACUCUUAAGGAUGGCCUAUGACAGAUAUUCUUUUGAUGUGAUACCAGUCCUUGGAGAUGUCAUCGCUGGUGACUGGAAAUCAUACCAAUACUUAGUAGAGAGCAUUAGACAGUUUCCUAAACAGAAAGAGUUUUCCACGAUGAUUGGGGAUGCCGGUUUCAGCCUUGUAAUACAU